This is a long non-coding RNA of Penaeus monodon (black tiger shrimp), 490 nucleotides long. RefSeq lists it as uncharacterized. The transcript is spliced from 3 exons. NCBI's taxonomy places the organism in Eukaryota, Metazoa, Arthropoda, Malacostraca, Decapoda, Penaeidae. The record is from RefSeq and is a predicted model, not a curated record.
CGAUUUUUUAUAGAGAGAUAAGACGCAUCAAGAGAACUUCCGCUUCUCCGUCGCAUCUUCACAGCUCGUCUGCCGAGGCCUCUGCUCCUUGAGUGCUCCGGGAAAGGCCAACAAAUGUAGUGGCUGUAAGAGAUGCUUUAUAUGAGGCUACUACUGGUUGCACUUAGGAUUUCAAGCUUGCAUCUGAGAUUAUAAAAACUUUGGGGGCAAAGAGCGAGUCCACUUUGUUCAUUCAGCUUGUGAUGAAAUAGUUGCAACUGCUACAGCUACAAGUAAAUGAUUUGAAUUAGAAAGGCAAUAUUUAUGAAAGGCAAUAUUUAUAGUUAAUUUCAAAGAAGGCUCUCAUACCAUAGUCAAAAUGGUUGAUACAUUGGAAGAUAUUACCCCACAGGACUUUUGGGAUCUUGCCCCAGUACUACCAGAUGAUUUCAAUGACAAUGAAAUUCUAACAAUUCCAAAAGCAGUAAACAUAAGGUCCACUGUUGAGACU